GACGAACGCUGGCGGCGUGCUUAACACAUGCAAGUCGAACGGAAAGGCCCUGCUUUUGUGGGGUGCUCGAGUGGCGAACGGGUGAGUAACACGUGAGUAACCUGCCCUUGACUUUGGGAUAACUUCAGGAAACUGGGGCUCAUACCGGAUAGGAGCUCCUGCUGCAUGGUGGGGGUUGGAAAGUUUCGGCGGUUGGGGAUGGACUCGCGGCUUAUCAGCUUGUUGGUGGGGUAGUGGCUUACCAAGGCUUUGACGGGUAGCCGGCCUGGGAGGGUGACCGGCCACAUUGGGACUGAGAUACGGCCCAGACUGCUACGGGAGGCAGCAGUGGGAAAUAUUGCACAAUGGGCGGACGCCUGAUGCAGCAACGCCGCGUGCGGGAUGACGGCCUUCGGGUUGUAAACCGCUUUCGACUGUGACGAAGCGUGAGUGACGGUAAUGGGUAAAGAAGCACCGGCUAACUACGUG
This 468-nucleotide ribosomal RNA is filed under the name uncultured bacterium. RNAcentral describes it as "partial 16S ribosomal RNA". It matches the Rfam family "Bacterial small subunit ribosomal RNA", at positions 28 to 507 of the family's 1533-position model. The record is from RNAcentral.